This 454-nucleotide ribosomal RNA is filed under the name uncultured Lachnospiraceae bacterium. Its description in RNAcentral is "bacterial SSU rRNA". It matches the Rfam family "Bacterial small subunit ribosomal RNA", at positions 927 to 1382 of the family's 1533-position model. The record is from RNAcentral. Lineage: Bacteria; Bacillati; Bacillota; Clostridia; Lachnospirales; Lachnospiraceae.
AAGCAGCGGAGCAUGUGGUUUAAUUCGAAGCAACGCGAAGAACCUUACCAAGGCUUGACAUCCUCUGACCGCCAUGGAAACAUGGUUUCCCUUCGGGGCAGAGAGACAGGUGGUGCAUGGUUGUCGUCAGCUCGUGUCGUGAGAUGUUGGGUUAAGUCCCGCAACGAGCGCAACCCUUAUCAUUAGUUGCCAGCAUUUAAGGUGGGGAACUCUAAUGAGACUGCCGGGGAUAACUCGGAGGAAGGUGGGGACGACGUCAAAUCAUCAUGCCCCUUAUGUCUUGGGCUACACACGUGCUACAAUGGCCGGUACAAAGGGCUGCGAUACCGCAAGGUGGAGCGAAUCCCAAAAAGCCGGCCUCAGUUCGGAUCGUGGGCUGCAACCCGCCCACGUGAAGCCGGAGUUGCUAGUAAUCGCGAAUCAGCAUGUCGCGGUGAAUGCGUUCCCGGGUCUU